This is a long non-coding RNA of Mytilus californianus (California mussel), 446 nucleotides long. RefSeq lists it as uncharacterized. The transcript has 3 exons. NCBI's taxonomy places the organism in Eukaryota, Metazoa, Mollusca, Bivalvia, Mytilida, Mytilidae. The record is from RefSeq and is a predicted model, not a curated record.
GGCUAACGUGUCUAAUAUAAAAUCCUAAAACAAAACAAAAAGUUUACUCCCACGACUGUUGAUAAAAGUUUACUCCCGCGACUGUUGAUAAAAGUUUACUCCCGCGACUGUUGAUAAAAGUUUACUCCCACGACUGUUGAUAAAAGUUUACUUCCACGACUGUUGAUAAAAGUUUACUCCCACGACUGUUGAUAAAAGUUUACUCCCACGACUGUUGAUAAAAGUUUACUUCCACGACUGUUGAUAAAAGUUUACUUCCACGACUGUUGAUAAAAGUUUACUCCCACGACUGUUGAUAAAAUUUACUCCCACGACUGUUGAUAAAAGUACAUUCAAUACUAAAGUCAGUUGAAAGCAUAAAAACGCCCAAAAUUUAAAAGAAAAGUUCAACGCUAGAUUUUAACCCUCCUGUAACAUUAUAUGAUGCUCGAGAUACAUUGUCCCUC